RNAcentral lists this ribosomal RNA (253 nucleotides) under uncultured bacterium. Its description in RNAcentral is "partial 16S ribosomal RNA". It matches the Rfam family "Bacterial small subunit ribosomal RNA", at positions 524 to 776 of the family's 1533-position model. The record is from RNAcentral.
UACGUAGGGCGCAAGCGUUGUCCGGAAUUAUUGGGCGUAAAGAGCUCGUAGGCGGCUUGUCACGUCGGGUGUGAAAGCCCGGGGCUUAACCCCGGGUCUGCAUUCGAUACGGGCUAGCUAGAGUGUGGUAGGGGAGAUCGGAAUUCCUGGUGUAGCGGUGAAAUGCGCAGAUAUCAGGAGGAACACCGGUGGCGAAGGCGGAUCUCUGGGCCGAUAUUGACGCUGAGGAGCGAAAGCGUGGGGAGCGAACAGG